UAUACUAAACGAAAAAUCUUCCUAACGCCAGAUCGAGGUGCAGUUAAUAAGCUGGGGAUAAGUGAGCUACAAUAUUUUACCAAACUAAACAUAAUUAUGGAUAAACUCCAUGAAAAAAAGUCCCAAAUAGGAUUCAGUAGUAAUAUCUAAAAGAAAGAAGAUAUGAACUACAAAAGCUCUAAAAAGCGC
RNAcentral lists this ribosomal RNA (189 nucleotides) under Cheiraster antarcticus. RNAcentral's name for it is "partial 12S ribosomal RNA". The record is from RNAcentral. Lineage: Eukaryota; Metazoa; Echinodermata; Asteroidea; Notomyotida; Benthopectinidae.